RNAcentral lists this ribosomal RNA (251 nucleotides) under uncultured bacterium. RNAcentral's name for it is "partial 16S ribosomal RNA". It matches the Rfam family "Bacterial small subunit ribosomal RNA", at positions 524 to 776 of the family's 1533-position model. The record is from RNAcentral.
UACGAAGGGGCUAGCGUUGCUCGGAAUCACUGGGCGUAAAGCGCACGUAGGCGGCUUUUUAAGUCAGGGGUGAAAUCCUGGAGCUCAACUCCAGAACUGCCUUUGAUACUGAGAGCUUGAGUCCGGGAGAGGUGAGUGGAACUGCGAGUGUAGAGGUGAAAUUCGUAGAUAUUCGCAAGAACACCAGUGGCGAAGGCGGCUCACUGGCCCGGUACUGACGCUGAGGUGCGAAAGCGUGGGGAGCAAACAGG